GAUGAACGCUGGCGGCGUGCCUAACACAUGCAAGUCGAACGGAGAUUACGGACGGAAGUUUUCGGAUGGAAGACUGUAAUUCUUAGUGGCGGACGGGUGAGUAACGCGUGGGCAACCUGCCCUAUACAGGGGGAUAGCAGCUGGAAACGGCUGGUAAGACCGCAUAAGUCGGUUAAAUCGCAUGAUUUGAUCGGGAAAUGAGCAAUCAGGUAUAGGAUGGGCCCGCGUCCGAUUAGCCAGUUGGCAGGGUAAAAGCCUACCAAAGCGACGAUCGGUAGCCGGACUGAGAGGUCGGACGGCCACAUUGGGACUGAGACACGGCCCAAACUCCUACGGGAGGCAGCAGUGGGGGAUAUUGCACAAUGGAGGAAACUCUGAUGCAGCGACGCCGCGUGAGUGAAGAAGUAUUUCGGUAUGUAAAGCUCCAUCAGCAGGGAAGAUGAUGACGGUACCUGACUAAGAAGCCCCGGCUAACUACGUG
Molecule: ribosomal RNA, 481 nt
Filed under: uncultured bacterium
Lineage: Bacteria
Description: partial 16S ribosomal RNA
Rfam family: Bacterial small subunit ribosomal RNA
Source: RNAcentral